Molecule: ribosomal RNA, 197 nt
Filed under: uncultured bacterium
Lineage: Bacteria
Description: partial 16S ribosomal RNA
Rfam family: Bacterial small subunit ribosomal RNA
Source: RNAcentral
ACGCUCGACACCUACGGAGGCAGCAGUGGGGAAUAUUGCACAAUGGGGGAAACCCUGAUGCAGCGACGCCGCGUGAGCGAAGAAGUAUUUCGGUAUGUAAAGCUCUAUCAGCAGGGAAGAAGAAAGACGGUACCUGACUAAGAAGCCCCGGCUAACUACGUGCCAGCAGCCCGGUAAUCUGAGCGGGCUGGCAAGGC